UACGGAGGGUGCAAGCGUUAAUCGGAAUCACUGGGCGUAAAGCGCACGUAGGCUGUCUGGUAAGUCAGGCGUGAAAGCCCUCGGCUCAACCGAGGAACUGCGUUUGAAACUGCUAGACUUGAGUGCCGGAGAGGGUGGCGGAAUUCCAGGUGUAGGAGUGAAAUCCGUAGAUAUCUGGAGGAACACCGGUGGCGAAGGCGGCCACCUGGACGGCAACUGACGCUGAGGUGCGAAAGCGUGGGGAGCAAACAGG
This 253-nucleotide ribosomal RNA is filed under the name uncultured Desulfovibrio sp. RNAcentral describes it as "partial 16S ribosomal RNA". It matches the Rfam family "Bacterial small subunit ribosomal RNA", at positions 524 to 776 of the family's 1533-position model. The record is from RNAcentral. Lineage: Bacteria; Pseudomonadati; Thermodesulfobacteriota; Desulfovibrionia; Desulfovibrionales; Desulfovibrionaceae.